AGAGUUUGAUCAUGGCUCAGAGCGAACGCUGGCGGCAGGCUUAACACAUGCAAGUCGAACGGACGCAGCAAUGCGUCAGUGGCAGACGGGUGAGUAACACGUGGGAACGUGCCCUUCGGUUCGGAACAACCCAGGGAAACUUGGGCUAAUACCGGAUACGUCCGCAAGGAGAAAGAUUUAUCGCCGAAGGAUCGGCCCGCGUCUGAUUAGCUUGUUGGUGAGGUAACGGCUCACCAAGGCGACGAUCAGUAGCUGGUCUGAGAGGAUGAUCAGCCACACUGGGACUGAGACACGGCCCAGACUCCUACGGGAGGCAGCAGUGGGGAAUAUUGGACAAUGGGCGCAAGCCUGAUCCAGCCAUGCCGCGUGGGUGAUGAAGGCCUUAGGGUUGUAAAGCCCUUUCGGCGGGGAAGAUAAUGACGGUACCCGCAGAAGAAGCCCCGGCUAACUUCGUGCCAGCAGCCGCGGUAAUACGAAGGGGGUUAGCGUUGCUCGGAAUCACUGGGCGUAAAGCGCACGUAGGCGGAUUGCUAAGUCAGGGGUGAAAUCCUGGAGCUCAACUCCAGAACUGCCCUUGAUACUGGCGACCUUGAGUCCGGGAGAGGUGAGUGGAACUGCGAGUGUAGAGGUGAAAUUCGUAGAUAUUCGCAAGAACACCAGUGGCGAAGGCGGCUCACUGGCCCGGUACUGACGCUGAGGUGCGAAAGCGUGGGGAGCAAACAGGAUUAGAUACCCUAGUAGUCC
RNAcentral lists this ribosomal RNA (744 nucleotides) under uncultured bacterium. RNAcentral describes it as "bacterial SSU rRNA". It matches the Rfam family "Bacterial small subunit ribosomal RNA", at positions 8 to 796 of the family's 1533-position model. The record is from RNAcentral.